Molecule: transfer RNA, 62 nt
Filed under: Anatis ocellata
Lineage: Eukaryota; Metazoa; Arthropoda; Insecta; Coleoptera; Coccinellidae
Description: tRNA-Cys
Source: RNAcentral
UGCCUUGUAUUCAAUUAUGAUUAUAAAUUGCAAAUUUAUAGGUGAAUUUUAUUCUAAGGCUU